Molecule: long non-coding RNA, 2078 nt
Filed under: Sus scrofa (pig)
Lineage: Eukaryota; Metazoa; Chordata; Mammalia; Artiodactyla; Suidae
Description: lncRNA (ENSSSCG00000062401.1)
Source: RNAcentral
UCUCCCUGGCGGGUUGCUUUCUCCGCCGGAGAAUUUAGGGAAUCUUGUCCAGGCUUUCAGGGCUGGUUGGAAUGCACCCUUUUCUCAGUGCCAGCCCUUGAUAGGCGCGAACUAGUUGCACUUGCUGGAUGAGUUAGGGAAAGCCUUCUUAAAGAAGAAAUGCAUGGGUCAGCCGGGAGGAGUUUUUACUUCGACUCAAGAUCUGUAUUCAAAGAAGGAAAGCUUGCUUGAGGAGGUCAUUCCUGAGCCAAACCAGGCAAAGAAAAUGGAAAGAGCUUUCCAGGCAAAGGAAGUACUUGAAACAAAAUCCGAUGGCAUGAAUCAAUAUAGCCCAACUGUGCAGUCACAGUAAGCAGUCACGUUGUAUUAGACCAGGUGUAGGGCUGGAGAGGUGGAUGGAAGCAAGCUCACACAGGGCCCUGAGGUAACCACUGUGCUUGGGGAGUUAGAAUUCUAUUCUGAGGGCAAAGAGUAGCCUUCAACAGAAUUAAGUAGGGCUGUGAUGUCCAAUUUUAAGCUUUAAAAGAUUGAGCACUAGAGGAAGAAGAAGGGUUCAUGACCAACUCCUGAAGUCAUUUAUUCAAAGUAUUUUUGAGUCCCGCUUGGUAUAUAAAAGCCUACAUGGAGUAUUGAAAGGCUUACAGAGGCAAAAACACGGUGUCUUCAUAUGAUUUAAGACUAACAGGAAUGGGGGAAAGAAAUGAGGAAAAGCAAACUAACACUGGAGAAUUCAACUGAUGCUUCAAGGAAGGAUCACCAGCUGUGGGAACUUUUCAAGAAGUAAUUAAUUCUGGAGGUAGGGAUGGGGGUAAGGAGAUGGAGGAGGUUUAAAACCAAAGGGAAGGAAGCAUUUGAGCCAACUCUGAAGAAGUAGAAUAUUGUCUGUUGGAUGGUGUUGGGGGAAAGGGAGGGGAAGUUGGGGAAGUAGUGAGGGACGCCCUUAGAACAGGAUCUGACACAUGGAAAGACUAAAAAUCAUGUGCCAGGCACUGAGGAAUCAGCAGGCUAGGAAGGACUCCUAUUUUAUGUGGGAGAUGGGGUUUGAAGAACAGAGAGUAAACAAACAGGAAAUCAUCAGAAAGUUACACGUGCUCUACAUUGAAUGGGAGUGAUGCUUUGCAACCUCCAGUCCUAUUAAAUUUAUUUUCAAGCCCAGAUUUUUUCAGUUCUGGGCUUUCCACUCUCACCUUCAUCCUAGCCUCUAAUUGAAGGCUAAUCAAAUUUGUUUGUUUGUUUGUUUACUCUUGUUGGAGAUAUCACUUCCUCCAGAAAGACUUAAAGACUUCCCUCCCGCACUAAGCCUAAGUAAGAGGCUCUACUUCUGUUGCCAUAGGAACCUAUUUCCCACUCAAGAUGCUCAUCACACUAGAUCUUAAUUAUCUGUUUACAAUCUAGGAUUAGAAAGUGAAAUCAGCUGAGCUGAAGGGCAAUGUAAGGGCUUGGCUAUGUCUAGCCAUGUUCUGGCAAUGCUGCAGGCUGACUUUGUCACAAAGUGAAUAUAUACAUGCUUUUCAUUCAAAUCCCUAAAGUCCUACUUCACAUAAAAAAAUCAUUUUAUUAAAUGCUUACUCCUGAAGACUUAAAAAUAAGGAGACACAGACUUCUUUCUCUUACGAUAAAGCCCCAAAGGAAGUCAAACCAGUAUGACCUGAGUAGAAAUGACACAUAGUCCUUGAUUAAGACCUAAUUAUAUACAUUCUUAAAAACUCACAAUCAUGAUUAAGAGUAGAGUUCUCUGUAAUGCAUAUAAGUCAUGAAAUCAGGGUCCUCUUGCUCAAACCACAAAUUAAGGAGGAUGAGAUAGCAUAAAUAUAAAUACAGAUGGAAUUUUACACAACCUGAAAUUUUUCAUUAGAUUCAUAAUUACUCUUGCCAGGUGACUACCCAUAAAGAGAAAAUCAGGAGUUCCUGUCGUGGCGAAGCAGAUAAGAAUCCGACUAGGUACCAUGAGGUUGUGGGUUCCAUCCCUGGUCUCAGUUGGUUAAGGAUCUGGCGUUGCCGUGGCUAUGGUGUAGGCUGGCAGCUGUAGCACUGAUUGGACCCCUAGCCUGGGAACCUCCAUAUGCCAGAGGUGCAGC